UACGUAGGGGGCUAGCGUUGUCCGGAAUCAUUGGGCGUAAAGAGCGUGUAGGCGGCCCGGUAAGUCCGCUGUGAAAGUCAAAGGCUCAACCUUUGAAUGUCAGCGGAUACUGCCGGGCUAGAGUCCGGAAGAGGCGAGUGGAACUCCUGGUGUAGCGGUGGAAUGCGCAGAUAUCAGGAAGAACACCAACGGCGAAGGCAGCUCGCUGGGACGUUACUGACGCUGAGACGCGAAAGCGUGGGGAGCAAACAGG
RNAcentral lists this ribosomal RNA (253 nucleotides) under uncultured bacterium. RNAcentral's name for it is "partial 16S ribosomal RNA". It matches the Rfam family "Bacterial small subunit ribosomal RNA", at positions 524 to 776 of the family's 1533-position model. The record is from RNAcentral.